RNAcentral lists this ribosomal RNA (224 nucleotides) under uncultured bacterium. RNAcentral describes it as "partial 16S ribosomal RNA". It matches the Rfam family "Bacterial small subunit ribosomal RNA", at positions 328 to 539 of the family's 1533-position model. The record is from RNAcentral.
ACGCUCGACACCUACGGGAGGUAGCAGUAGGGAAUCUUCCACAAUGGGCGGCAAGCCUGAUGGAGCAACACCGCGUGAGUGAAGAAGGGUUUCGGCUCGUAAAGCUCUGUUGUUGGAGAAGAACGUGCGUGAGAGUAACUGUUCACGCAGUGACGGUAUCCAACCAGAAAGUCACGGCUAACUACGUGCCAGCAGUCGCGGUAAUCUGAGCGGGCUGGCAAGGC